This 2284-nucleotide ribosomal RNA is filed under the name Salmonella enterica subsp. enterica serovar Johannesburg. Its description in RNAcentral is "partial 23S ribosomal RNA". It matches the Rfam family "Bacterial large subunit ribosomal RNA", at positions 677 to 2925 of the family's 2925-position model. Lineage: Bacteria; Pseudomonadati; Pseudomonadota; Gammaproteobacteria; Enterobacterales; Enterobacteriaceae. The record is from RNAcentral.
CCGAGUCUUAACCGGGCGUUAAGUUGCAGGGUAUAGACCCGAAACCCGGUGAUCUAGCCAUGGGCAGGUUGAAGGUUGGGUAACACUAACUGGAGGACCGAACCGACUAAUGUUGAAAAAUUAGCGGAUGACCUGUGGCUGGGGGUGAAAGGCCAAUCAAACCGGGAGAUAGCUGGUUCUCCCCGAAAGCUAUUUAGGUAGCGCCUCGUGAAUUCAUCUCCGGGGGUAGAGCACUGUUUCGGCUAGGGGGCCAUCCCGGCUUACCAACCCGAUGCAAACUGCGAAUACCGGAGAAUGUUAUCACGGGAGACACACGGCGGGUGCUAACGUCCGUCGUGAAGAGGGAAACAACCCAGACCGCCAGCUAAGGUCCCAAAGUCAUGGUUAAGUGGGAAACGAUGUGGGAAGGCCCAGACAGCCAGGAUGUUGGCUUAGAAGCAGCCAUCAUUUAAAGAAAGCGUAAUAGCUCACUGGUCGAGUCGGCCUGCGCGGAAGAUGUAACGGGGCUAAACCAUGCACCGAAGCUGCGGCAGCGACGCUGAUGCGUUGUUGGGUAGGGGAGCGUUCUGUAAGCCUGCGAAGGUGUGUCGUGAGGCAUGCUGGAGGUAUCAGAAGUGCGAAUGCUGACAUAAGUAACGAUAAAGCGGGUGAAAAGCCCGCUCGCCGGAAGACCAAGGGUUCCUGUCCAACGUUAAUCGGGGCAGGGUGAGUCGACCCCUAAGGCGAGGCCGAAAGGCGUAGUCGAUGGGAAACGGGUUAAUAUUCCCGUACUUGGUGUUACUGCGAAGGGGGGACGGAGAAGGCUAUGUUGGCCGGGCGACGGUUGUCCCGGUUUAAGCGUGUAGGUGUGUGUUCCAGGUAAAUCCGGUUCACUUUAACACUGAGGCGUGAUGACGAGGCACUACGGUGCUGAAGCAACAAAUGCCCUGCUUCCAGGAAAAGCCUCUAAGCAUCAGGUAACAUCAAAUCGUACCCCAAACCGACACAGGUGGUCAGGUAGAGAAUACCAAGGCGCUUGAGAGAACUCGGGUGAAGGAACUAGGCAAAAUGGUGCCGUAACUUCGGGAGAAGGCACGCUGACACGUAGGUGAAGUGAUUUACUCAUGGAGCUGAAGUCAGUCGAAGAUACCAGCUGGCUGCAACUGUUUAUUAAAAACACAGCACUGUGCAAACACGAAAGUGGACGUAUACGGUGUGACGCCUGCCCGGUGCCGGAAGGUUAAUUGAUGGGGUCAGCGCAAGCGAAGCUCCUGAUCGAAGCCCCGGUAAACGGCGGCCGUAACUAUAACGGUCCUAAGGUAGCGAAAUUCCUUGUCGGGUAAGUUCCGACCUGCACGAAUGGCGUAAUGAUGGCCAGGCUGUCUCCACCCGAGACUCAGUGAAAUUGAACUCGCUGUGAAGAUGCAGUGUACCCGCGGCAAGACGGAAAGACCCCGUGAACCUUUACUAUAGCUUGACACUGAACAUUGAGCCUUGAUGUGUAGGAUAGGUGGGAGGCUUUGAAGUGUGGACGCCAGUCUGCAUGGAGCCGGCCUUGAAAUACCACCCUUUAAUGUUUGAUGUUCUAACGUGGACCCGUGAUCCGGGUUGCGGACAGUGUCUGGUGGGUAGUUUGACUGGGGCGGUCUCCUCCUAAAGAGUAACGGAGGAGCACGAAGGUUGGCUAAUCCUGGUCGGACAUCAGGAGGUUAGUGCAAUGGCAUAAGCCAGCUUGACUGCGAGCGUGACGGCGCGAGCAGGUGCGAAAGCAGGUCAUAGUGAUCCGGUGGUUCUGAAUGGAAGGGCCAUCGCUCAACGGAUAAAAGGUACUCCGGGGAUAACAGGCUGAUACCGCCCAAGAGUUCAUAUCGACGGCGGUGUUUGGCACCUCGAUGUCGGCUCAUCACAUCCUGGGGCUGAAGUAGGUCCCAAGGGUAUGGCUGUUCGCCAUUUAAAGUGGUACGCGAGCUGGGUUUAGAACGUCGUGAGACAGUUCGGUCCCUAUCUGCCGUGGGCGCUGGAGAACUGAGGGGGGCUGCUCCUAGUACGAGAGGACCGGAGUGGACGCAUCACUGGUGUUCGGGUUGUCAUGCCAAUGGCACUGCCCGGUAGCUAAAUGCGGAAGAGAUAAGUGCUGAAAGCAUCUAAGCACGAAACUUGCCCCGAGAUGAGUUCUCCCUGAGACUUAGAGUCUCCUGAAGGAACGUUGAAGACGACGACGUUGAUAGGCCGGGUGUGUAAGCGCAGCGAUGCGUUGAGCUAACCGGUACUAAUGAACCGUGAGGCUUAACCUUACAACGCCGAA